Molecule: long non-coding RNA, 838 nt
Filed under: Medicago truncatula (barrel medic)
Lineage: Eukaryota; Viridiplantae; Streptophyta; Magnoliopsida; Fabales; Fabaceae
Description: lncRNA gene50745
Source: RNAcentral
GUCACUAUAAAUACACUGUCCAAUCAUUAGAGAGAGGUGGCUGCACUGUUCACACACUGACACACCAAUUAUCUGCAGCCGCACAAUCACAAUCAAAAAACCCUAAUUCUCUCCCUUUUCCCUAACUUUCGAAUCAAACAGCAAAGUUGCAACAAAAAUGAAAAACACAGAUGAACGAAAUCCAGUCUCGUAAAUAAUUUCCAAACUCAUACAUCAAACCGAAUCUAUUCCAUCUCAGAAAUCACCCAUCAUUUUCGGUUUUGAUUUCAACAACCACAAAUUCACCAGAAAUUCAUAAACUCACAAAACCAACUCGAAUCUGUCCAACACCAAAAUUGCACCGCUUUCGAGCAAGAACAGAACCGAAUCACAAUAGAAGAAGAAAGAAGAAGCUGAAACCGAGUCAAAUUCGUGAAGAACAAAAAUAGAUCGGACCGGAUCGAGAUCGUACCGCAAGAAGAAAUCGAACUCGAAUCCACAAGCAAACGAAGCUGAGACGCAUCGAACAGAGGGAAGGUGGUAAGAUCUGUGAUCCUGAGUAGUUGGUGGUGGCUCAUUGUCGUGUUUAGGGCUCUGAUACGUGGGAUGGGAAUAUUUAUAUUAUUUUAUUGUUGCUUUCCUCCUAUGUAUCAAAUUCUGGAACUUGAUGAUGUGGCCCUUUGUUGGUUGACUUUUGUUGUUUAGGCUUAAUGCCAGGAUAUUGUUGGAGAUUUACAUCGUUGUGGUUGUUAUUGAAAUGCAAAACUUUCCGCUACAUUAUUUUGAAGUUAUGACUGAUGUUGAAUUAAAUAGUUUUAUUUUCUAUUUAAGAAUUUGAAAUGUAGCAUGCCCGUUUGGU